CUCCGGUUGAUCCUGGCGGAGGUUACUGCUAUCGGUGUUCGNCUAAGCCAUGCGNGUCAUAUGUUCUUUGMGAACAUGGCGUACUGCUCAGUAACACGUGGAUAACCUGCCCUUGGGUCCGGCAUAACCCCGGGAAACUGGGGAUAAUACCGGAUAACGCACAUAUGCUGGAAUGCUUUCUGCGUAAAACGGAUUCGUCUGCCCAAGGAUGGGUCUGCGGCCUAUCAGGUAGUAGUGGGUGUAACGNACCUACUAGCCGACAACGGGUACNGGUUGUGAGAGCAAGAGCCCGGAGAUGGAUUCUGAGACAUGAAUCCAGGCCCUACGGGNNSMNSAGGCGCGAAAACUUUACAAUGCGGGWAACCGUGAUAAGGGGACACCGAGUGCCAGCAUCAUAUGCUGNCUGUCCGGAUGURUAAAAUACAUCUGUUAGCAAGGGCCGGGCAAGACCGGUGCCAGCCGCCGCGGUAACACCGGCGCCCCGAGUGGUGAUCGUGAUUAUUGGGUCUAGAGGGUCCGUAGCCGGUUUGGUCAGUCCUCCGGGAAAUCUGACAGCUCAACUGUUAGGCUWUCGGGGGAUACUGCCANACUUGGAACCGGAAGAGGUAAGGGGUACWACAGGGGUAGGAGUGAAAUCUUGUAAUCCCUGUGGGACCACCUGUGGCGAAGGCDUCUUACCAGAACGGGUUCGACGGUGAGGGACGAAAGCUGGGGGCACGAACCGGAUUAGAUACCCGGGUAGUCCCAGCCGUAAACGAUGCUCGCUAGGUGUCAGGCAUGGCGCGACCGUGUCUGGUGCCGCAGGGAAGCCGUGAAGCGAGCCACCUGGGAAGUACGGMCGCAAGGCUGAAACUUAAAGGAAUGGGCGGGGAGGSAC
RNAcentral lists this ribosomal RNA (877 nucleotides) under unidentified archaeon LMA126. RNAcentral's name for it is "partial 16S ribosomal RNA". It matches the Rfam family "Archaeal small subunit ribosomal RNA", at positions 1 to 879 of the family's 1478-position model. Lineage: Archaea; Methanobacteriati; Methanobacteriota; Methanomicrobia; Methanosarcinales; Methanosarcinaceae. The record is from RNAcentral.